This 434-nucleotide long non-coding RNA is filed under the name Setaria viridis. Its description in RNAcentral is "long non-coding RNA (SVIR_LNC009481)". The record is from RNAcentral. Lineage: Eukaryota; Viridiplantae; Streptophyta; Magnoliopsida; Poales; Poaceae.
UUGCCUUCCAUUGCACAAAUUCUAGUAUCGUACCUAGUUUUUUAUGGCCUUUGCUGGCAACCUGGGUACAACAAUUUUUGGUGAUCAUCUAUCAUGCGCUGCAACUUUGCUGCUUUCUUCUCAGUUUCGCAAUCUCUGUAUGCAUCUCGUAUCACCUGACCAAGGUCAUCAGUAGGGCCAUUUUCUGCAAACUCAUCUUCAUCAACCUCGCCCAUUGUAGUACGUGCAAAAGCUUGGCUAGCAACCCAGUUCGGAAUGGUCUCAUCUUCCUCCUCCUCCUCGCCAUCUUCCAUUAUGACCCCUCGUUCACCGUGCUUGGUCCAAACCAAAUAGUUAGGCAUGAAACCGUAUUUAAACAAGUGGCUGUGAAUAGUCCCCCAGGAAUCCUUUGAAUACUCCUUCUUGUUAUUGCAUUGGAAGCAUGGACAACAUAC